Non-coding RNA from Pimephales promelas (fathead minnow), 178 nucleotides. The record is from RefSeq and is a predicted model, not a curated record. Lineage: Eukaryota; Metazoa; Chordata; Actinopteri; Cypriniformes; Leuciscidae.
CUUUUAUAAUAAUUUUGAAAUUUUACUUUAAGGUGGGAAGCCAACCAGAGGGGAUGGGGAGCAGCUGGUCGCCCUUGACCAAAUUAAAAAGGCAUCAUUAUUGAUGCUACAUUGAAGAAGUGGCCGUCAGCCAGCCGAGGGGAGAUGGGCACGUCUAUCAAUUCAAAGCUCAUGGAGC